GACGAACGCUGGCGGCGUGCUUAACACAUGCAAGUCGAACGGAAAGGCCCUGCUUUUGUGGGGUGCUCGAGUGGGGAACGGGUGAGUAACACGUGAGUAACCUGCCCUUGACUUUGGGAUAACUUCAGGAAACUGGGGCUAAUACCGGAUAGGAGCUCCUGCUGCAUGGUGGGGGUUGGAAAGUUUCGGCGGUUGGGGAUGGACUCGCGGCUUAUCAGCUUGUUUGUGGGGGAGUGGCUUACCAAGGCUUUGACGGGUAGCCGGCCUGAGAGGGUGACCGGCCACAUUGGGCCUGCGAUACGGCCCAGACUCCUACGGGAGGCAGCAGUGGGGAAUAUUGCACAAUGGGCGGAAGCCUGAUGCAGCAACGCCGCGUGCGGGAUGACGGCCUUCGGGUUGUAAACCGCUUUCGCCUGUGACGAAGCGUGAGUGACGGUAAUGGGUAAAGAAGCACCGGCUAACUACGUG
Molecule: ribosomal RNA, 468 nt
Filed under: uncultured bacterium
Lineage: Bacteria
Description: partial 16S ribosomal RNA
Rfam family: Bacterial small subunit ribosomal RNA
Source: RNAcentral